Long non-coding RNA from Oncorhynchus keta (chum salmon), 741 nucleotides. RefSeq lists it as uncharacterized. The transcript has 3 exons. The record is from RefSeq and is a predicted model, not a curated record. Lineage: Eukaryota; Metazoa; Chordata; Actinopteri; Salmoniformes; Salmonidae.
AGAGAGAGGUGGAGGGGAAAGAGAAGAAGAGAGAGGUGGAGGGGAAAGAGAAGAAGAGAGAGGUGGAGGGGAAAGAGAAGAAGAGAGAGGUGGAGGGGAAAGAGAAGAAGAGAGAGGUGGAGGGGAAAGAGAGAAGAGAGAGGUGGAGGGGAAAGAGAAGAAGAGAGAGGUGGAGGAGAAAAAGAAGAAGAGAGAGGUGGAGGAGAAAAAGAAGAAGAGAGAGGUGGAGGGGAAAGAGAAGAAGAGAGAGGUGGAGGAGAAAAAGAAGAAGAGAGAGGUGGAGGGGAAAAAGAAGAAGAGAGAGGUGGAGGGGAAAGAGAGAAGAGAGAGGUGGAGGGGAAAGAGAAGAAGAGAGAGGUGGAGGGGAAAGAGAAGAGAGGUGGAGGGGAAAGAGAAGAAGAGAGAGGUGGAGGGGAAAAAGAAGAAGAGAGAGGUGGAGGAGAAAAAGAAGAAGAGAGAGGUGGAGGGGAAAAAGAAGAAGAGAGAGGUGGAGGGGAAAGAGAGAAGAGAGAGGUGGAGGGGAAAGAGAAGAAGAGAGAGGUGGAGGGGAAAGAGAAGAGAGGUGGAGGGGAAAGAGAAGAGAGAGGAGGAGGGGAAAGAGAAGAGAGGUGGAGCGGAAAGAGAAGAGAGAGGAGGAGGGGAAAGAGAAGUGUUUUGACAUUGGAUAUCCGUGGUACAGAACGAUGCACCAGGUGGACUCUUCAGCAGAACCAGCUCAGAUGAGACACUUGUAAUCCUGAU